ACGCUGGCGGCGUGCCUAAUACAUGCAAGUAGAACGCUGAAGAGAGGAGCUUGCUCUUCUUGGAUGAGUUGCGAACGGGUGAGUAACGCGUAGGUAACCUGCCUGGUAGCGGGGGAUAACUAUUGGAAACGAUAGCUAAUACCGCAUAAUAGCAGUUAUUGCAUGAUAACUGUUUGAAAGGUGCAAAUGCAUCACUACCAGAUGGACCUGCGUUGUAUUAGCUAGUUGGUGAGGUAACGGCUCACCAAGGCGACGAUACAUAGCCGACCUGAGAGGGUGAUCGGCCACACUGGGACUGAGACACGGCCCAGACUCCUACGGGAGGCAGCAGUAGGGAAUCUUCGGCAUGGACGGAAGUCUGACCGAGCAACGCCGCGUGAGUGAAGAAGGUUUUCGGAUCGUAAAGCUCUGUUGUAAGAGAAGAACGAGUGUGAGAGUGGAAAGUUCGCACUGUGACGUAUCUACCAGAA
Molecule: ribosomal RNA, 470 nt
Filed under: Streptococcus mitis
Lineage: Bacteria; Bacillati; Bacillota; Bacilli; Lactobacillales; Streptococcaceae
Description: bacterial SSU rRNA
Rfam family: Bacterial small subunit ribosomal RNA
Source: RNAcentral